GAUGAACGCUGGCGGCGUGCCUAAUACAUGCAAGUCGAGCGAACAGACGAGGAGCUUGCUCCUCUGACGUUAGCGGCGGACGGGUGAGUAACACGUGGAUAACCUACCUAUAAGACUGGGAUAACUUCGGGAAACCGGAGCUAAUACCGGAUAAUAUAUUGAACCGCAUGGUUCAAUAGUGAAAGACGGUUUUGCUGUCACUUAUAGAUGGAUCCGCGCCGCAUUAGCUAGUUGGUAAGGUAACGGCUUACCAAGGCGACGAUGCGUAGCCGACCUGAGAGGGUGAUCGGCCACACUGGAACUGAGACACGGUCCAGACUCCUACGGGAGGCAGCAGUAGGGAAUCUUCCGCAAAGGGCGAAAGCCUGACGGAGCAACGCCGCGUGAGUGAUGAAGGUCUUCGGAUCGUAAAACUCUGUUAUUAGGGAAGAACAAAUGUGUAAGUAACUAUGCACGUCUUGACGGCACCUAAUCAGAAAGCCACGGCUAACUACGUG
This 497-nucleotide ribosomal RNA is filed under the name uncultured bacterium. RNAcentral describes it as "partial 16S ribosomal RNA". It matches the Rfam family "Bacterial small subunit ribosomal RNA", at positions 28 to 507 of the family's 1533-position model. The record is from RNAcentral.